RNAcentral lists this long non-coding RNA (220 nucleotides) under Phoenix dactylifera (date palm). RNAcentral describes it as "long non-coding RNA (PDAC_LNC003950)". The record is from RNAcentral. Lineage: Eukaryota; Viridiplantae; Streptophyta; Magnoliopsida; Arecales; Arecaceae.
AGCGUGACCAAAGAUAGUAGUCACAUGGAUGUCUAUCCACUCGUUAGUGACUACUUAUGCUGUAGUUGUAUGACUGGUCCUUUGACCUGCGAUGCCUCAGCUAUUCACUGUGAGGUUGCUGUAGUUUGACGAGCAUGUAAACUUAGGCCCCAGCCAUUCGGAUCCUUGUAGUACGGAUUGGCUAUAGUAGGUUCAUUUUGGAAUAGGGUUGCAUCUAGAN